This 254-nucleotide ribosomal RNA is filed under the name uncultured bacterium. RNAcentral's name for it is "partial 16S ribosomal RNA". It matches the Rfam family "Bacterial small subunit ribosomal RNA", at positions 524 to 776 of the family's 1533-position model. The record is from RNAcentral.
UACGUAGGUGACAAGCGUUGUCCGGAUUUACUGGGCGUAAAGAGCGCGCAGGCGGUCGAUCAAGUCGAGUGUGAAAGCCCCCCGGCUCAACUGGGGAGGGUCAUUCGAUACUGAUCGACUCGAAGGCAGGAGAGGGUAGUGGAAUUCCCGGUGUAGUGGUGAAAUGCGUAGAUAUCGGGAGGAACACCAGUGGCGAAGGCGACUACCUGGCCUGUUCUUGACGCUGAGGCACGAAAGCGUGGGGAGCAAACAGG